GAUGAACGCUGGCGGCGUGCCUAAUACAUGCAAGUCGAGCGAACGGACGGGAAGCUUGCUUCUCUGAUGUUAGCGGCGGACGGGUGAGUAACACGUGGAUAACCUCCCUAUAAGACUGGGAUAACUUCGGGAAACCGGAGCUAAUACCGGAUAAUAUUUUGAACCGCAUGGUUCAAAAGUGAAAGACGGUCUUGCUGUCACUUAUAGAUGGAUCCGCGCUGCAUUAGCUAGUUGGUAAGGUAACGGCUUACCAAGGCAACGAUGCAUAGCCGACCUGAGAGGGUGAUCGGCCACACUGGAACUGGGACACGGUCCAGACUCCUACGGGAGGCAGCAGUAGGGAAUCUUCCGCAAUGGGCGAAAGCCUGACGGAGCAACGCCGCGUGAGUGAUGAAGGUCUUCGGAUCGUAAAACUCUGUUAUUAGGGAAGAACAUAUGUGUAAGUAACUGUGCACAUCUUGACGGUACCUAAUCAGAAAGCCACGGCUAACUACGUG
This 497-nucleotide ribosomal RNA is filed under the name uncultured bacterium. RNAcentral's name for it is "partial 16S ribosomal RNA". It matches the Rfam family "Bacterial small subunit ribosomal RNA", at positions 28 to 507 of the family's 1533-position model. The record is from RNAcentral.